Lactuca sativa (garden lettuce) is the source of this 257-nucleotide non-coding RNA. The record is from RefSeq and is a predicted model, not a curated record. Lineage: Eukaryota; Viridiplantae; Streptophyta; Magnoliopsida; Asterales; Asteraceae.
GAUGCUUGUUGGGAUUUUAUCGUCUGUAAUUGCAACUUGUUAUGAGAUGGCCAAAACCAUUGCAUUUUGCAAUAGUUGAUGAACUUGAUUAUGUCCUAAUUGAUGAGGGAAGAAACCCAUUGCUGAUAAGGGGUGAGGCUAGCAAGGAUGCUGCACGUAACACAGUUGCUGCUAAAGUAGCUGAGCUUCUCAUGCGUGGCCUCGUAUUUUACUUUUUUGCCCUUCUUUUUCCUUUUUGAUGUCUUGUUAUCCAUCUC